UGCCGGAACUUGUGCGACAGAUUCCCGUGAACCGGGUCAGGUUGGGAACAAAGCAGCCCUAAGCGAUGAAUCUGUGCGCCGCAGGAACUCU
This 91-nucleotide signal recognition particle RNA is filed under the name Lentisphaeria bacterium. Its description in RNAcentral is "partial signal recognition particle sRNA small type". It matches the Rfam family "Bacterial small signal recognition particle RNA". From Rfam's summary of the family: The signal recognition particle (SRP) is a universally conserved ribonucleoprotein involved in the co-translational targeting of proteins to membranes. Lineage: Bacteria; Pseudomonadati; Lentisphaerota; Lentisphaeria. The record is from RNAcentral.